UACGGAGGGUGCGAGCGUUAUCCGGAAUUACUGGGUUUAAAGGGUGCGUAGGCGGCCAAGUAAGUCAGGAGUGAAAGUUUGCGGCUCAACCGUAAAAUUGCUUUUGAUACUGCUAGGCUGGAAUUAGGAUGAGGUCAGCGGAAUGUGGCAUGUAGCGGUGAAAUGCAUAGAUAUGCCAUAGAACACCAAUUGCGAAGGCAGCUGGCUAGACCUAUAUUGACGCUGAGGCACGAAAGCGUGGGGAGCGAACAGG
RNAcentral lists this ribosomal RNA (253 nucleotides) under uncultured bacterium. RNAcentral's name for it is "partial 16S ribosomal RNA". It matches the Rfam family "Bacterial small subunit ribosomal RNA", at positions 524 to 776 of the family's 1533-position model. The record is from RNAcentral.